RNAcentral lists this ribosomal RNA (1527 nucleotides) under Triticum aestivum (bread wheat). RNAcentral describes it as "partial small subunit ribosomal RNA". The record is from RNAcentral. Lineage: Eukaryota; Viridiplantae; Streptophyta; Magnoliopsida; Poales; Poaceae.
AAUGUGGUUGCAGCGGAGAAAGGCCAGUUCAGCAAGGAGCUUUGGCGUACCUUUCGGGCCGUCGCAGCCACUGGCCUUGUAAUCUAUGCUGGCAUGACUAGGCUUGACAGGUUGAACGAGCAAGGCCUUGAUGGUUUGGAAGAAGAUGAAGAUUUGGCCCCAAAUUCGGGCACGAAAUUCAGUGAUGUCAAGGGGGUUGACGAAGCCAAAGCUGAGCUUGAGGACAUUGUUCACUAUCUACGAGAUCCCAAGCGUUUCACGCGCCUUGGUGGCAAGCUUCCAAAGGGUGUUCUGCUUGUGGGCCCACCUGGCACAGGGAAGACAAUGUUGGCAAGGGCUGUGGCUGGGGAAGCUGGCGUCCCAUUCUUUGCAUGCAGUGGAAGUGAUUUCGAGGAGAUGUAUGUGGGUGUUGGGGCUAAGAGAGUGAGGGAGCUCUUCGGUGAAGCAAAGAAGAAAUCUCCUUGCAUAAUAUUUAUCGACGAGAUUGAUGCCAUUGGAGGCCGUAGAAACCCGGAAGAUCCAACGUGUCACAGGCAAACCGUGAACCAGCCGGUUUCUGAGAUGGAUGGCUUCAAGCAAAAUGAUAGGGUCAUUGUGAUCGCGGCGACCAACUUCCCUCAGUCACUUGAUAAAGCCCUCCUCAGGCCUGGGCGUCUUGGCCGUCAAAUUCAUGUCCCAAUUCCAGAUGUCGAGGGCAGACGGCAGAUCCUCGAGGUUUAUAUGUCAAAAGUCCAAGCCAGCAAGGAUGUGGAUCUGAUGACCAUUGCAAGGGGUACACCUGGAUUCUCUGGUGCAGACCUCUCAAACCUGGUGAAUGACGCUGCUCUCAAGGCAGCCAAGGAUGGGGCGGAAGUUGUUAUGAUGCAUCACAUUGAGUAUGCCAAGGACAGGAUCAUGAUGGGAAGUGAACGCAAGUCAGCAGUGAUACCAGAUAACUGCAGGAAGCUUACCGCGUACCGUGAGGGAGGGCAUGCCCUUGUUACCAUCCACACGGAUGGCGCUCGACCUAUCCACAAGGACACCAUUGUUCCCAGGGGAGAUGCUCUUGGCAUGGUGACACACCUGCCAGAGGACGAAGAUGCGUAUAAAGAAACGAGGAAGCAAAUGCUGGCGAGAUUGGAAGUCCUCAUGGGACGUCGGGUGGCCGAGGAGCUUGUAUUUGGAGAGAGCGAGGUGACCGCUGCCGCCUCCUCUGAUCUAAGCCAGGCAACGCAGCUGGCAAUAGACAUGGUCACCAGGUAUGGUAUGAGCGGGCAGGUCGGCCUUGUUUCCUACGAUGACGAUGGUGGCAGCUGUGUGAAGAGGACGGCCAUGAGGGUCGAUGAGGAAGUGAAGGAGCUAUUGGACAAGGCUUACAAGAAUGCGACAACGAUUCUCACGACGCACAUCAAUGAGCUUCAUGUGCUAGCCGGCGCCCUCCUUGAGCAUGAAACUCUCACCGGGGACCAGAUCAACAAACUAGUAUAUAGGCAAGUAAACGGCCUUAACAAUAGUCAACAGAAUCAUGAAACGCCUCCUUCACCCUAA